Molecule: long non-coding RNA, 428 nt
Organism: Patella vulgata (common limpet)
Lineage: Eukaryota; Metazoa; Mollusca; Gastropoda; Patellidae
Exons: 2
Source: RefSeq, a predicted model, not a curated record
UUCACACAAAAAUGACAAUAACGGAGUUGACCAUUAACGCCUCUCCAGUAGGUCUCGCAUAUAGAGCUCAAGAGAAUAGUCCGAGUACGCAGAUACUAAUGACGUAUUACGUAAUUAUUUGCACGAGGUCUUUGGUAAGCCUUUGAUGUUGCAAACACGCUAGUCUAGUUCCAAUUGAAAUUUACAGUUUUGGUAGGACACAAUUUGCUAAUAUGUCUAUGUUUGUACACUUGUAAGUGUAUUCCAUGCACCAGACAAUAUUGAAGUUAUAAUGUCAUAAUUUAGAACUUGAAGAAUGUCUUUGCUGAUGUGAUGUUAAAAUGAUGUUAUUCUGAGUCUGCAGAUCAGAUCUAUAUCUUAUUGACCUGUCAUAUUAUGAGAUGGAUGUUCUGAAAUAUUAUCGUCAUUAAACCUUGUCAUAGAGUAAA